This is a long non-coding RNA of Arabidopsis thaliana (thale cress), 585 nucleotides long. RefSeq annotates it as other RNA. The transcript has a single exon. NCBI's taxonomy places the organism in Eukaryota, Viridiplantae, Streptophyta, Magnoliopsida, Brassicales, Brassicaceae. The record is from RefSeq.
UCUUCUUCUUCUUUUUUUGGCAUAACGUUUUGGGGGAUAAUUUAGUAUUAAGACUUCAAUGCAAAUACAUUGCUUAAAGUUCUACUAGAUGUUUUGUCUUCGUAGAGGUCAGGAGAUCAACAAAGACAGAAAGAACAAUAGUAGUCAAUACGAAAAUAUAUUGUGUUGUCACUCUUCCGAUUCUGAAUUUAUUCUGUGGUCAUCAAUAUUGAAGUAACAACAACUAAACAACUAACGCAGACAUUGACUGGGCCUAGAACAUCCGGCCCAUGUGUACAACAAAAAAAACUCAUGUAGUACGUUGUUGGAAACCAGGAGCUUAAAAAACGACGAUGUGUUGACAAAAAUAGUCCCACAUCGCUUAGAUCCAAAAUAAUGACAAGGGGACGCAGAGUAUAUAUAGAGAAGCAGACGUUUCGAGCAAAUUACUUACCUGGACGGGGUCUACUCGCGAUCAACAAGACGAGUGGCCUAGGCUAGUGACCGCAUUGCACAUACCGUUGGGGUGCUAUGCCUAAGGUCUUCCCUUGAGGAGGAUCCUACGUCAUUAUUUGUGGCAGAAGGGGUUUGCGUUCGCGCAGCCCC